RNAcentral lists this ribosomal RNA (464 nucleotides) under uncultured bacterium. Its description in RNAcentral is "partial 16S ribosomal RNA". It matches the Rfam family "Bacterial small subunit ribosomal RNA", at positions 29 to 507 of the family's 1533-position model. The record is from RNAcentral.
ACGAACGCUGGCGGCGUGCUUAACCCCUGCAAGUCGAACGGAAAGGCCCCUUUGGGGGUACUCGAGUGGCGAACGGGUGAGUAACACGUGAGUAACCUGCCCUUGACUUCGGGAUAACUUCAGGAAACUGGGGCUAAUACCGGAUAGGAAUCCUUGCUGCAUGGUGGGGGUUGGAAAGCUUCGGCGGUUUUGGAUGGACUCGCGGCUUAUCAGCUUGUUGGUGGGGUAGUGGCUUACCAAGGCUUUGACGGGUAGCCGGCCUGAGAGGGCGACCGGCCACAUUGGGACUGAGAUACGGCCCAGACUCCUACGGGAGGCAGCAGUGGGGAAUAUUGCACAAUGGGCGGAAGCCUGAUGCAGCAACGCCGCGGGCGGGAGGACGGCCUUCGGGUUGUAAACCGCUUUCAGCAGGGGCGAAGCUUGUGGUGACGGUACCUGCAGAAGAAGCACCGGCUAACUACGUG